UUACCAAAUUUGACAUUUUCAUUAUAUAUCUCUACUACUUAUUAAGGCUGCAAGGGUAGUCUGCCUCCUUUUGGUUCUGCCUUCCGAUAAUCUCUACUGUCCGUGUUCGCUACCCACCUCCGCGUGCACCUCGCACCCUCUGAGCAUCCACCGCGCGAACAACCCUACCUGUUGUCUCUCGUUACUCCCUUUGUAGCCGCCGCAGCACCGCCUCCCCACGCGCGAGCCGUAGCCGCUCCUCCGUCCGCCGCGCGUGGGUCGUAGCCCCCCUAAAGGUUCGUUCGCAACCAGACGCCGCUGCCACCACCUCCAGGUUCGUUAGCCGGAUGGCGACCCUUGCUGAUGGCUCCCUGAGGCGUUCAGGAAUCCAUGCGGCUUGGCUCGGCGGCGACCAAGCCUGAUGGUCAGCCGACGCGUGGGGUUCUCAACCUGCAUUGCCUAAUGCUGUCAUGCCGAGGUGCAUGGGGAUUUGGGACCAUGGUGAGCAGAGGUUCAAAGCAAGCAGUCUCAAAAUCAAGUGAUGGCUUCCGUAUAAGAGGGACUUUUCAGGGUCUCUUGCUCAUCAUUCGGUGCCAACGAUGGAGACAACUCUUUGCUGGCUUGAGCCUUAACUAUGCCAAGGGUAUUCAUCAUCUCUUUAACCAAAAAACAGAAGUCUGCUUGUGUUACGCACUUAAACAGGAUUACUCAAUGGACGUGCAUUACUUGUUCUUAAUAUCAUAUGCAUAUAAACUACUUCAUUUGUUUCUACAGCUUAAUGACUCAAAUGUCAAGGAGAUAAAGAGCAAGACAAAGAAGUAUGUCGUGGUAGUUGUGCGUCACCCUUGUCUGAUAGUUUGGUCGGCAUAUCUUUGUUUUUUAGAAACUGCUCCCAACUCUCUAGCUAUCUAUGGGUGCAUGUGCUAUUGCUUAGAUCUGUACUUCCAUAUAUGUGCUGAUUGAUAUGUUAAAUUUGACUCCUCAUCCUCUUGGUAUGUAUUUUCAAAAGAAAGAAAAAUGCAGUGUCUGGCGUAGGAUCAUCUUCAUCCAAAGGAAAGGCAAUUGCAGGUAAAAGGGGAGAAAAAUCCAAGAGGGAAUAUAACAGCAGUGGUAUUCAAGAAGCAGAGAGAAAUAAACUGUUUUUCUUUGAGGGCUCUUCAUAUAAUUUUGACUUGGAGGAUCUAUUGAGGGCUUUGGCUGAAGUCCUUGGAAAAGGAAGUUAUGGGACUACGUACAAAGCUGUUCUGGAGGAUGGAACAACAGUGGUGGUCAAGAGAUUGAAAGAAGUGGUGGCGGGAAAGAGGGAAUUUGAACAGCAGAUGGAGCUAAUUGGCAAGGUUUGCCAGCAUCAAAACACUGUCCCAUUGCAUGCUUACUACUACUCCAAGGAUGAGAAGCUCUUGGUGUAUGACUAUGUCCCACUAGGUAGCCUUUGUGCUGCUUUGCAUGGUAACAAAGCUGUUGGAAGAACCCCAUUGGACUGGGAGACCAGGGUGAAGAUAACUCUGGGCACAACACGCGGAAUGGCUUACCUUCACUCCGUGGGUAGCGGCGGGAAGUUCAUUCACGGGAACAUCAAGUCAAGCAACAUCCUUCUCUCACAGGAACUCGGCGCCUGUGUCACCGAGUUCGGCCUUGCCCAGCUCAUGUCCACGCCCCACGUCCACCCACUGCACACGGAAUGGCUUACCUUCACUCGGUGUGGCUCAAGUAUGAACGCUUAUGCUUUUCUGGAUUAAUUGAAAUGUCUUUCAUCUUCUAUGACUAUGCAUGUGUUUUUCAAGCAAUACUUGGUACUCGAGCAUCAGAGAUCAUAAAGCUUGCUCCUUUUUGUCUCCAUUUAUCAGUCGAGGGGGAGUCACCAACGAACGACCCACAAUUGAUUUGUAGGCAUUGCUGGUUGUCUUGAAGAAGAUGAUGGUGGGCUCUUCCCACCACCAGCAGCUAUAGAAGAAGGGGAAGUCUGUGGCUGACAAGGGUCCGCCCCCGCAACUGUGGUGGCAGAGAAGGUGGUGGCGCGGUUAGGGCAGCCACAACACCCCAUCAUCUGGGCGAGGCGGUAGCAUCAUACUUGUCAUCAUCCCGUCACAUAGCUUUGGUAUUAUUUCUGGUUUUUGGCUCAUGUGCACGUUUGUUGGUAUCACUAAUCAUUUUCACUUUAGUUACAAUGAUCGCCUAAAUCCAUGGUUUUUAUUGCCUAUAGUUUGUUAAUGUUUCUCUGGUUUUGCAGUAGUUGCCUAAAAACUAAAAGUAUAUGAACACUUCUCUAUUAGAUAAUGUGAUUUAUUAGAGUUAAGAAAAUUGAUGUGUAUGAUAUAGACAUUUGAGCUGGGGCUAAUGCUCGUUUACAUCUUAUUAUUGUUGUUGUAUGCUUGUGUGCUUAAUUUGUUGUUUCUGUAGAUUAAUGUGAGGUAUAAUCUUGUUUUCGGCUCUCCUGAUGUUGUAGCUGUUGAGUGCAAGAAAUCACAUGCAAGCUGGAUUGUGUUAGACAAGAUUUGAAGCAUGAGGAGAAGCAUUGUGGGGGAGAAGCUUCAGUGCAACAUUGUUGUUCUAUAGGGAUCAACAUCCUCAAGACCGCUUGGAAAACUUUCACAAAAAACUCAUAAUGCAAGCAUAUGUUUUAUUGGAAAAGUUUUCCAAGCUGAAUUUCUGAAAGCCUCCUCACUGCUUUAGUUAUGCUAAAUUGGAAUUUGCAACUAGGGGUUUCUAACAAGUAAAUUUCUUAGCUAAAGGUGGAUUUUGGUCUGUUCAUCGACGUGUCCUUUCUGAUGGUGGCGUUGUUUGUUAGCUACAAAAUCAUCAAUCAAAGAUUG
RNA transcript from Zea mays, 2792 nucleotides. It is a transcript of the gene named probable inactive receptor kinase At5g58300, with no coding region annotated. The transcript is spliced from 5 exons. NCBI's taxonomy places the organism in Eukaryota, Viridiplantae, Streptophyta, Magnoliopsida, Poales, Poaceae. The record is from RefSeq and is a predicted model, not a curated record.